UCCAUUCUCCAUGCAUCAUGUCUAUCCUGUGAUAUUUUUUUAUUGUGAAACAAUACGAGCAAGUUUUGAUAUUCCUCUACCUCCCAAUCUUGCAAGUUCCUCCUAAAUCUCAAGUCUCAUUGCAUUUCUCCCCCUUAUAAGCUCCACAAUUGUAAGACCGACAUCUUCUUUUGGCUUGAUAUAUUGUACAUGUUCAGAUACGUGACUCUCAAUGGGUUGCUCUCGCACCACCUGUGAUCUCAAAAAC
This 247-nucleotide long non-coding RNA is filed under the name Nicotiana benthamiana. RNAcentral's name for it is "long non-coding RNA (NBEN_LNC004430)". The record is from RNAcentral. Lineage: Eukaryota; Viridiplantae; Streptophyta; Magnoliopsida; Solanales; Solanaceae.